Molecule: long non-coding RNA, 619 nt
Filed under: Marmota monax (woodchuck)
Lineage: Eukaryota; Metazoa; Chordata; Mammalia; Rodentia; Sciuridae
Source: RNAcentral
UAUUUUUUUAGUCAUUAUAUUUUUAUUCCUUUAUUUUAUUUAUUUUAUGUGGUGCUGAGGAUCAAACCCAGUGAAUCAAACAUGCUAGGCAAGUACUUUACCACUGAGAUACAAACAUGGUCCCUCAAUCUGUAUUUUUAAUAAGCUCUCAAGUGGUUCUUAUUAUCAAGCAAGUUUGGAAACAACCUGGGAGAGAUGUGGCAAGUCACAAACUAAUUCAAGAACCAUUCUUAAAAGUUUAACUAACCAUGUAGGUCUUUGAUUCUCAAGUUACUCCCACCUUUUCAGAAAUCCACAUCCUUAGACCUGACAUGCAGACUUCUGGACCCCAUGACCUAGUAAGGCUUUAAUAGAGGAGCUAAAAUUAGUUUUCAAUUAUUGGUAAAGUCUCUCUGCCUUCCUCUCCUUUAUUUCUCUUCCCCAAUCCCUCUUUUUGUAUGAACCAUAAGUUCCAAUGAUUUCUCACUAAACAUUUCAUAACUGGUCAAAUCCAAGAUGCCCCACACAGAGAGCAGUUUUCCAUCAUGGGAAGUUUUAUCAAACCUCACUUGGUAUUUUGAGACCUAAUCCAUAGCUCUUACACAGCAUGCAAAAAACUUUACUAUCAGUCACUCAUUAC